This 98-nucleotide non-coding RNA is filed under the name Conticribra weissflogii. Lineage: Eukaryota; Bacillariophyta; Thalassiosirophyceae; Thalassiosirales; Thalassiosiraceae. The record is from RNAcentral.
CAAAUAUAAAUUAAAAAAUGAAUAAGAAAAAGAAACAAAAUAAAUUUAAACAACAUGAAAUUUUUUUAAAUUUGGUUCCACUCCUUGCUUCAUUUUUU